Mus musculus (house mouse) is the source of this 1505-nucleotide long non-coding RNA. RefSeq annotates it as predicted gene, 35208. NCBI's taxonomy places the organism in Eukaryota, Metazoa, Chordata, Mammalia, Rodentia, Muridae. The transcript has 5 exons. The record is from RefSeq and is a predicted model, not a curated record.
CAGAGGAAGCCAUGCUAACCGUGGUUUGAUAUUAAAGACUAAGGGGGUGCGGAAUUACUGACUAAUCUAGGCUUUCUGGUGGAGAACAUUAGUUGAACAAUGCCCCUUUGAAUUUUCGGAAGCAGGCCACAGGAUCCUGCCUACUCUGGGAUUGGAGCAGACCCUGGAGGCCAGUUGGAGGCCUGGUAGAGUCCUAUUUCCAGAGCUUCCGAUCGGAGUGAUUUACAUUUCAAAGGCUUCAGGAUCCACUGCAAAGAAACACUUUGGGGAAAGACUAUUUCUAAUUCCCAAUGACUGAAAAGGCUAGGUAAUUGCUGGCCACCCAGCUGAGGCCUAUAAGCAAGAAUUUCACAGGGAAACAAGAGAAGGUCACGUGCAGCCAAGCGAGAGCGGAGACUGCAACAUGCAGGGGAGCAAAUAUGGGAGCCAAAAUCAAAAGCACGGCGGCUAUGGCUACAGCUUACCUGAAUUCUAGCCUUCCACAUGUAGCUACCUUCCACAUGUAGCUACCACCGAGCUUCAGAACACAGAAGAACUAAGUGUUAAAGGACAGGUGUUCUGUAAGUGGCCAGAUUCGUGAAGCCUACAUCAGGAUCAGAAGCUAGGUAGACGUCUCAUCUCCUGUCUAUCAGCAGACAUUGUGGAACAGUGCUGUGGACCAAUUCCAGGUCCUGGGGACACACACUACUCUGCCACUGACUUCUUUGGAUACAUCUUUCCAGGUGUCACCAGGUACAAAACGGAUCCUUUCCUUCAGAAGAGAAGCAGUGAGUUUUGUUGCAGCACAUGGGCUUGGAAGACUUCCGAUCCUGCCUUCCUGGUCAUUCUCUGCUGUUAUCUGAGUAACACUGACCAAGUGACUUAUCCUCUUUGGGCCCUCACUUCCUCAUCUGAAAAACAUAGAUGGCGUGCGGGAAGGAUUGGCAAUGCCAGGAUGAAAGAUCUUUCCUAUGGGUGGACAGCUUUCUGCAGGCCUCCCUAGUGUGCCAAGUUCUACCAACAAGCAAGAGCCAAGACCACGGAAACUGUGACCAGCAUAAUACAAAUUGUGUUUUCUGAGCACUGGAUUAAAAAAGAACCUCUAAGAUAAAAACUGGAAGUAGUUUUCUCAAGAGGGGACUGCUGCUGCCCCAUGGAGUCAGGACAAAGCCCUGCCGUCUGUUUGGUGCAUUGUGGAAUCUCACAUUGCUCACAUUCCGCCAACCCUCGAGAUAGGCAGCACUAUGACCAUUGUCCUCAUUUAGGACCUGCAAAAACUGAGUUCCAAUCAGUAAAGCCAGUUGCCCCAGGAAACGAGCUGAUGGGUGGAUGAGGCAGUAUCUCCUCUGGCCACAGCAGGCCAGCAAUCCUGAGCCACUCUGUAGGCCUGCAAUGGAGGGAGGCUCUUAUACUCUAACCAUCAGUGUUAACAAACUGAGAGACCCUUUUAUGGUCCCAGGCUUAUAGCUGGUGUGUGUGUGUGUGUGUGUGUGUGUAGCCAUGCAGAUGGUUAGCUCAUUAAUAAA